CUAGGACACCUUAUCACCUUGAACACACUUGAUCUUGUCUGAUCUCAGAAGCUAAGCAGGGUCAGGCCUGGUUAGUACUUGGAUAGGAGACAAUUAUAUUUUGAUAAUAUAUUGGA
Molecule: ribosomal RNA, 116 nt
Filed under: Microcebus murinus (gray mouse lemur)
Lineage: Eukaryota; Metazoa; Chordata; Mammalia; Primates; Cheirogaleidae
Source: RNAcentral